GAUGAAGAACGUAGCGAAAUGCGAUAAGUAAUGUGAAUUGCAGAAUUCAGUGAAUCAUCGAAUCUUUGAACGCACAUUGCGCCCGCCAGUAUUCUGGCGGGCAUGCCUGUUCGAGCGUCAUUUCAACCACUCAGGCCCUGGUGCCUGGCGUCGGGGUUUCUUGCUUCGGUAAAAUCCCCUAGAAUCAGUAGCGGACCCGCCGCGGCUCCGAGCGUAGUAGUAAAAUAUCUCGCUAUGGAGGCCCGUGGGGGGAUUACCGGCCGUAAAACCUCUUCUUUACUGAAGAACUUCUCAAGGUUGACCUCGGAUCAGGUAGGAAUACCCGCUGAACUUAAGCAUAUCAAUAAGCGGAGGA
This 355-nucleotide unclassified non-coding RNA is filed under the name soil metagenome. RNAcentral's name for it is "partial contains 5.8S ribosomal RNA, internal transcribed spacer 2, and large subunit ribosomal RNA". The stretch from base 1 to 120 matches the Rfam family "5.8S ribosomal RNA", at positions 35 to 154 of the family's 154-position model. The record is from RNAcentral.